CUUUCUCUCUCCCUGACCUGACGUAAUAUGAUACGCGCACUCGAUCUCCCCACUAUCGUCACCCCCACCACCGCCGGUGUUCUCUCUCUCUCUCUUCCCGCUGGCCUGGGGCCUGGCCCUUUCGCUUUCGCUCUUUCAGAGCUCGUGCACCGGAACUCCAGCGAACAAAAUCGGAUGUUGACUUCACCGGGCCGAGGGCCACUAAUUUUGUUUGAGAUAAUCGUAACAAUAAGAGAUACAGGUAACUGUUUGCAACAUGAACACUCAAUAAUUGAGAGUUGGUUAAUUAAUCUAUUGUGAAUAAAGGUAUAAAUUUUAAUUUGAAGCAAAUAGAUAUUGCCGAUUAUAUAUACCUUUUGGCCGAUUAAUCGCAUUCUACGCACACGGUUGCAUAAUUUUCUAAUAUAGUUAAAUACUUCUAAAUGAGGUUAUAUAUAUAUUUCGCGAGGAUCUGAAUUGAUCUGAACAAUCUGAACUCGGCAAUGUCGGGAGGAUAAUCGAUCGGGAUGAAAGAACGUCGAUUAAUCGAUCAAUGCGCCUACGUAAGAUGCAAAUUGUAUCAGACGUCGCGCGAGAUAAAUGAUUGCGGGAUGCUGCGGGACGAGACGGACGCGAUCAGCUGGAGAUCGAUCGAUCGCGAAAUUCCUGCGCUUGUCAUCCGCACGCAUCACGGUCGGCAGGGUCAGUGAUCGAGAAAGCCAUGCCGCUUUGUUUACGCCAUCAUGGGACUUGAACGAGGAGGGAGAGAACGAUUCAGAGAUUGUCGACGUUUCGGCGUUCCUAGAUACAUUCUUCUCGGAGCUGACGUCUCCGAGAAUUAAUCUGGAUUAAUCACCUGCGAGCUGCGUUUCCCCGAAGUCCGACGAGAGACAGCGUGCGCUGGUGCCAGAGCGUCAAGCUCCUUCCGCUUCUUCAUCUUCUUCAUCGGCUGACGAAGCGGGACUGUCACUGCCACCGAGUCCAUCUCAAGUAAAACCAGGCCGCCUAUCUUUCGGAAUAUCUUUGGCGCGACUCGUUUCUAGGAAGAUAUUCUUUCGCUUGAAGCCGUCUAAAACCAUCUGCUCCUAUUUACGUGCGAUUUAAAAUCCAAGAGAUUUAAAAGGGUUUCUAACGUCAUGGUAACUCGACACGACCGUCUGGAUAGAAAGAUGUCGCGACACAAUUACGAAUGCGGCCCUGAACUCGAUAAGAUACCGAGAUACUGAAGAAUUCGAAAUCGGGCAAUGGCGGGAAUGACAUGAAGGAGCCGGCUCCGACAUUCAAUCCCGAAGGCACCUGUACCUGCACGAGGUUGGAGGUUCGCCAAAGAACUGAUAGCGUGGGCGUCGUACCUUCGAAGACACAGACAUGAGGACGUGCGUGUACCUGUGUGCAUCGGCACCUUUGAGAGGGGGAUUGAAGUCUUUUACCUUCCUACUUCAUUGGCUGGAGUCAAGUCGUUUCGAACCGGCCUCUUUUCACUCUUCGUUCUUCAUCGCGAAUCAUCGCUCUUUCUAUUAUUCUCCGUAUAUAAGAAUAACAAGAAACAUCAUCUUUUUCCGCACCGAAACAAUGUAUAGCAUUGAUAAGCGAGGAAGAACGCAGUACCAGAGAUCUCGAUGGAAGUAGGCCGUGCAAAUGAGGUGGACUCUGCGAAACACCUUUACUUAAACCGAAGCGAGCAGUCACAUGCUAAUUGCAGAACAAGCAGCUACAGAGUUUUGUAGGGCGGGACGCGAAAAAAAAUUGGCGGAAAGAGACGGAGAGGACGAAUGACGACUGAAAUCAGAGGCAGGAACAUCAUCAAGCAAAGGAAGGAAGCAUAUCGGAUAGCUUCCGAGGUCGACGAUGGAAAGAUUCGACUCAGGUCGGCUAGUUAUUAGCUCGCCAAUAAUUAAGGUAAUCUGUGCGGUAAUUAACUCCAGUUGAGACUUGGGUGGUAACACGACGCACCUGCGAUAUCCCAGCGGUCAACAGGUUGUUUUACAGACGGCUCAUAAUUGUACGCGGUGUCUCAAUUAGCGCGAAAUGUAGACCUAUGCCAGCGUCUGUAAUCGUAGUUACGCUUUCUAAGGGACUUGCGCAUACAUGUCUUGCUCCCCGCACAAACACGGGAAAAUAUAAAUUCAAAUUAAGCGAAGAAAUGAUUCAAGAAUGCUGCUACCACGCGAGGAUCACCAAUCACCACAAAGAGAUCGCUCAAUUAUCAUCCGGUCAUGAAAUAUAUUCACAAUAUUUCACUUUGUGAAUCACGUGGGUCACUUUGCAGAUCUCUAGAAGUAAUGGACUCUGAAAGUAAUGGACAGUAAUGGAUAUCACGUUAACAAAGUGAUAAUUUCGAUUACUUAAUUUCAAUUAGCGACAUAUUCUUUUCGAAACGCACACAUACGUGUACACACGGUUGCAAAUAAACGGUCGUACCGCGAUCCUAAUUGACAGCUCUUGUUUAAUUCACGUAAGAUGCACACAAGUCGAUACAUCACGUGCGACCAAGACACACCGGUGCGCUUAUAUAACAUUUUUAUCGUUUUACCGGAACCUUCGGAACAAGCCUCGCGCGCGACAGCUUGUCGCCUCUGUGACAAAAAAAUCAUCACUAAUCAAUCAAAAAUUGUUUUUGACAUACCGUCUGUGAUUCGAGUAUCCAUAUAUAUACUAUUUUUUACAUCAAAAAUUAUAAAUUACAUAUUAUACAAUUAACUAUAACUCGAUUACGAGAGAAAUUGAAAGAGAAUUUGCAAAUUUCUUUUAACAUAAUAUUUUUUUUGCUAUGUCGAAAAUUAACAGAACGGGAGGUUCAAUUUCAUGAAUCAAUUUCAUCAAUUCUCUUUUUUUCUAUUUAAUUCGCGCGAAAGAGACUCACUCUUGAUACUGUAAAGGCUUUCCUUUAUCGCGGCGAUACCACGACUUAUCACGAUCGGGCAUAUGUAAUCAAACGUAUUCUGUGAUAAAGUAAUAACACUGUCGGCAUGUUUAUGAAUCGGCACAAAGGCCUGAUAUUCUCGAGUCUCGACUUGUCCGACACGAAGAAUGCCGAUUGAAUGCCGAUCGAACGGUCAGUUUGAGAAAACAGUAGAUGAGAAUGAAUUUAACGAAAGCCUUUAGCAUUUAGCGCUAACUAUGCAUCUCCUCUCACGAGAUAUAUUACAUAAAAAUAAUAACAUAGUUAUCUCAGGACAAAGUUUACUUACCUCAAGA
Long non-coding RNA from Formica exsecta, 3177 nucleotides. RefSeq lists it as uncharacterized. The transcript is spliced from 5 exons. Lineage: Eukaryota; Metazoa; Arthropoda; Insecta; Hymenoptera; Formicidae. The record is from RefSeq and is a predicted model, not a curated record.